UACAGAGGUCCCAAGCGUUGUUCGGAUUCACUGGGCGUAAAGGGUGCGUAGGUGGUUGGGUAAGUCUGAUGUGAAAUCUCCGGGCUCAACCCGGAAAUGGCAUUGGAUACUAUUUAACUCGAGGAUUGGAGGGGGGACUGGAAUACUUGGUGUAGCAGUGAAAUGCGUAGAUAUCAAGUGGAACACCAGUGGCGAAGGCGAGUCCCUGGACAACUCCUGACACUGAGGCACGAAAGCUAGGGGAGCAAACAGG
Molecule: ribosomal RNA, 253 nt
Filed under: uncultured bacterium
Lineage: Bacteria
Description: partial 16S ribosomal RNA
Rfam family: Bacterial small subunit ribosomal RNA
Source: RNAcentral